UACAACAGUUUAGACCGAGCAGCGAGU
RNAcentral lists this non-coding RNA (27 nucleotides) under Bombyx mori (domestic silkworm). The record is from RNAcentral. Lineage: Eukaryota; Metazoa; Arthropoda; Insecta; Lepidoptera; Bombycidae.